AUUGAACGCUGGCGGCAUGCCUUACACAUGCAAGUCGAACGGCAGCACGGGUGCUUGCACCUGGUGGCGAGUGGCGAACGGGUGAGUAAUACAUCGGAACAUGUCCUGUAGUGGGGGAUAGCCCGGCGAAAGCCGGAUUAAUACCGCAUACGAUCUACGGAUGAAAGCGGGGGACCUUCGGGCCUCGCGCUAUAGGGUUGGCCGAUGGCUGAUUAGCUAGUUGGUGGGGUAAAGGCCUACCAAGGCGACGAUCAGUAGCUGGUCUGAGAGGACGACCAGCCACACUGGGACUGAGACACGGCCCCGACUCCUACGGGGGGCAGCAGUGGGGAAUUUUGGACAAUGGGCGAAAGCCUGAUCCAGCAAUGCCGCGUGUGUGAAGAAGGCCUUCGGGUUGUAAAGCACUUUUGUCCGGAAAGAAAUACUUGGCUCUAAUACAGUCGGGGGAUGACGGUACCGGAAGAAUAAGCACCGGCUAACUACGUG
This 486-nucleotide ribosomal RNA is filed under the name uncultured bacterium. Its description in RNAcentral is "partial 16S ribosomal RNA". It matches the Rfam family "Bacterial small subunit ribosomal RNA", at positions 30 to 507 of the family's 1533-position model. The record is from RNAcentral.